GAUGAACGCUGGCGGCGUGCCUAAUACAUGCGAGUCGAGCGAACAGACGAGGAGCUUGCUCCUUCGACGUUAGCGGCGGACGGGUGAGUAACACGUAGGUAACCUACCUAUAAGACUGGGAUAACUUCGGGAAACCGGAGCUAAUACCGGAUAAUAUUUCGAACCGCAUGGUUCGAUAGUGUAAGAUGGCUUUGCUAUCACUUAUAGAUGGACCUGCGCCGUAUUAGCUAGUUGGUAAGGUAACGGCUUACCAAGGCAACGAUACGUAGCCGACCUGAGAGGGUGAUCGGCCACACUGGAACUGAGACACGGUCCAGACUCCUACGGGAGGCAGCAGUAGGGAAUCUUCCGCAAUGGGCGAAAGCCUGACGGAGCAACGCCGCGUGAGUGAUGAAGGUCUUCGGAUCGUAAAACUCUGUUAUUAGGAAAGAACAAACGUGUAAGUAACUGUGCACGUCUUGACGGUACCUAAUCAGAAAGCCACGGCUAACUACGUG
This 497-nucleotide ribosomal RNA is filed under the name uncultured bacterium. RNAcentral describes it as "partial 16S ribosomal RNA". It matches the Rfam family "Bacterial small subunit ribosomal RNA", at positions 28 to 507 of the family's 1533-position model. The record is from RNAcentral.